CGGCGAGUGAAGCGGCAACAGCUCAAAUUUGAAAUCUGGCCCUUGGGUCCGAAUUGUAAUUUGUAGAGGAUGAUUUUGGUGCGGUAUCUUCCGAGUUCCUUGGAACAGGACGCCUUAGAGGGUGAGAGCCCCGUACGGUUGAAUGCCUAGCCUCUGUAAAUCUCCUUCGACGAGUCGAGUAGUUUGGGAAUGCUGCUCUAAAUGGGAGGUAAAUUUCUUCUAAAGCUAAAUACUGGCCAGAGACCGAUAGCGCACAAGUAGAGUGAUCGAAAGAUGAAAAGCACUUUGAAAAGAGGGUUAAAUAGCACGUGAAAUUGUUGAAAGGGAAGGAUUUAUGACCAGACUUUUUCUGGGCGGAUCAUCCGGUGUUCUCACCGGUGCACUUUGCCCAGUUUAGGCCAGCAUCGAUUUUUGGAGAGGGAUAAAAGCUUUAGGAAUGUGGCUCCUCCGGGAGUGUUAUAGCCUAUUGUAUAAUACCUUUCCGGGGAUCGAGGUACGCGCUUCUGCAAGGAUGCUGGCGUAAUGGUUAUCAAUCACCCGUCUUGAAACACGGACCAAGGAGUCGAACAUUUGUGCGAGUGUUUGGGUGUUAAACCCUCACGCGUAAUGAAAGUGAACGGAGGUGAGAGCCCUUACGGGUGCAUCAUCGACCGAUCCUGAAGUUUUCGGAUGGAUUUGAGUAAGAGCAUAACUGUUCGGACCCGAAAGAUGGUGAACUAUGCGUGGAUAGGGUGAAGCCAGAGGAAACUCUGGUGGAGCUUCGCAGCGGUUCUGACGUGCAAAUCGAUCGUCAAAUCUGCGCAUGGGGGGCGAAAGACUAAUCGAA
Molecule: ribosomal RNA, 826 nt
Filed under: Seiridium ceratosporum
Lineage: Eukaryota; Fungi; Ascomycota; Sordariomycetes; Amphisphaeriales; Sporocadaceae
Description: partial large subunit ribosomal RNA
Rfam family: Eukaryotic large subunit ribosomal RNA
Source: RNAcentral